CGUACACAUAGAAGCAAUAGAUAGAUAGAUAAAUUAUAAGGUAUACGAUACUGCCCACAUGCACCGUAUAUCUAACAGUCGGGAACCCAGGAGUAUGACAGCAAUAUGAUUGAUGAUUGAGGAGAAUAUUAAGUCAAACCUAUAAAUAGUACCUACUUAGACAUAGGAAAUAAAAGUAAGGCAUACAGAAUGGAGAUGAAGG
RNAcentral lists this long non-coding RNA (202 nucleotides) under Elaeis guineensis (African oil palm). RNAcentral describes it as "long non-coding RNA (EGUI_LNC059091)". The record is from RNAcentral. Lineage: Eukaryota; Viridiplantae; Streptophyta; Magnoliopsida; Arecales; Arecaceae.